RNAcentral lists this long non-coding RNA (393 nucleotides) under Daucus carota (carrot). Its description in RNAcentral is "long non-coding RNA (DCAR_LNC004869)". Lineage: Eukaryota; Viridiplantae; Streptophyta; Magnoliopsida; Apiales; Apiaceae. The record is from RNAcentral.
AGAAGAGCGUAUUGCACAAAUGAGCAUUGUAGCUGAACAAAAUCCUUCUGGUCAGUAUUAAGAAAGAAAGAAAUAAUAAGUUCCUAGCUGUCUUGUUUACUUUUUCAUCCAUCCUUCCAACAUCUUUCUGCAAAGAGAAAAAACAUUAAUUGUUUAAACCAUAACUUUUGGAAGAGAAAGUUAGUGCCAGAAUCGAAUUUUAUUAAUAAGAUAAUAUGAAUGAAGUAGGGUUUUUAAUACCUAUCACAGUAAGUCAGAAAUUAAAUUGAAGAACCACCAUAAAAAGUUGAAACUGAGGGUUUGGUAAUGGUCAUGGUGUUACGCAAGAAACAAACUGAAAACGCCGUACAUAUUAGUUUUUUUACAUCUUUGUAAUUCAUUGUCAAAUGUAUG